GACGAACGCUGGCGGCGUGCCUAAUACAUGCAAGUAGGACGCUGAAGGAGGAGCUUGCUUCUCCGGAUGAGUUGCGAACGGGUGAGUAACGCGUAGGUAACCUGCCUGGUAGCGGGGGAUAACUAUUGGAAACGAUAGCUAAUACCGCAUAACAGUAGAUAUCGCAUGAUAUCUGCUUGAAAGGUGCAAUUGCAUCACUACCAGAUGGACCUGCGUUGUAUUAGCUAGUUGGUGAGGUAACGGCUCACCAAGGCGACGAUACAUAGCCGACCUGAGAGGGUGAUCGGCCACACUGGGACUGGGACACGGCCCAGACUCCUACGGGAGGCAGCAGUAGGGAAUCUUCGGCAAUGGACGGAAGUCUGACCGAGCAACGCCGCGUGAGUGAAGAAGGUUUUCGGAUCGUAAAGCUCUGUUGUAAGAGAAGAACGAGUGUGAGAGUGGAAAGUUCACACUGUGACGGUAUCUUACCAGAAAGGGACGGCUAACUACGUG
This 495-nucleotide ribosomal RNA is filed under the name uncultured bacterium. Its description in RNAcentral is "partial 16S ribosomal RNA". It matches the Rfam family "Bacterial small subunit ribosomal RNA", at positions 28 to 507 of the family's 1533-position model. The record is from RNAcentral.